UGAGUUUCUUAUACAAAAAACGUGAUAUUUAAUGGAGGUUAUUCUGCGGGGGUUAUAAAAACCCUCCACAUAUUACUAUUAUUUAAAAUGAUUCUGGUGAGUUGUCUUAGUGUCAAUAAAUGCAGAGGUUUUAAUUAUAGUUUGAGGAGGUUACAAAAAAUUAUAAUAGAUUUUUAAUUCUUCCCUUUUUUUUUUUUCUUUCCCUCCCAAGAUUUUCCACUCACUUUACUUUUUCCCCAAUUUCAAAAUCUGAGCGCGAGUUCUCAAAAGAUAAAUGCCUUUUGGUUUUUGUUUUUGUUUUUGUUUUCCUUUCACCUUCCCCAUCAUGAAACCAUCACAGGUGCUCCAAUCGCUCGUCGGCUGGUGCUCGUCGGACAUUGCUAGUCUCCCGAUGCUUGUCUAUCAUGAAUGUUAUAUCUAAAGCUACAACAAUCGUCGUUUUUCCUUGGCUAAAUUUCCCAACCACUCAGCUUCCCAGAAUAAAUUGUAGCCACUCCGCUUUCGAAGUAUGCUCUUCUCCAAUUACUCUACGGCAUUUGCUUUACCACUCUACGGCUAUGUUUGACAUCUACUAUGCGUCGCAUAGAAGUUUCGACGUUGCACUUUGUACACCUAGUUUGCACAUGUUCCAACAAAAAUUAGUGAAGUUCAAAAACACGGUUUAAAGUGGUUUGAAAGCAAGAGAUAUAUUGAUUUGAAAGAUGAAACUGAAACAAGAUGAUGUUUUGUAGUGAUUUUGUUUACGUCAUCAACAUUAGAGUAUGUGUUUUCAAUUGGUCUAGUUGUUUUCAACCAUGUUAGAUUUUUUAGUCAAUCUUGUAAUGUUCC
This is a long non-coding RNA of Vigna radiata var. radiata (mung bean), 828 nucleotides long. RefSeq lists it as uncharacterized. The record is from RefSeq and is a predicted model, not a curated record. Lineage: Eukaryota; Viridiplantae; Streptophyta; Magnoliopsida; Fabales; Fabaceae. The transcript is spliced from 3 exons.